Molecule: ribosomal RNA, 465 nt
Filed under: uncultured bacterium
Lineage: Bacteria
Description: bacterial SSU rRNA
Rfam family: Bacterial small subunit ribosomal RNA
Source: RNAcentral
GGGCCCGCACAAGCGGUGGAGCAUGUGGUUUAAUUCGACGCAACGCGAAGAACCUUACCUGGGCUCGAAAUGUAGAGGAAUACGGUAGAAAUAUCGUCGCCUAGCAAUAGGCCUCUAUAUAGGUGCUGCAUGGCUGUCGUCAGCUCGUGUCGUGAGAUGUUGGGUUAAGUCCCGCAACGAGCGCAACCCUUAUUACCAGUUGCUACCAUUUAGUUGAGCACUCUGGUGAGACUGCCUCGGAUAACGGGGAGGAAGGCGGGGAUGACGUCAAGUCCUCAUGGCCUUUAUGUCCAGGGCUACACACGUGCUACAAUGGCCGGUACAAACCGUCGCAAACCCGUGAGGGGGAGCUAAUCGGAAAAAGCCGGCCUCAGUUCGGAUUGGAGUCUGCAACUCGACUCCAUGAAGCUGGAAUCGCUAGUAAUCGCAGAUCAGAACGCUGCGGUGAAUACGUUCCCGGGCCUU